RNAcentral lists this ribosomal RNA (636 nucleotides) under Phyllactinia moricola. RNAcentral's name for it is "partial large subunit ribosomal RNA". It matches the Rfam family "Eukaryotic large subunit ribosomal RNA", at positions 23 to 671 of the family's 3401-position model. Lineage: Eukaryota; Fungi; Ascomycota; Leotiomycetes; Helotiales; Erysiphaceae. The record is from RNAcentral.
ACCCGCUGAACUUAAGCAUAUCAAUAAGCGGAGGAAAAGAAACCAACCGGGAUUACCCUAGUAACGGCGAGUGAAGCGGUAACAGCUCAAAUUUGAAAUCUGGCUCCCUGCGGAGUCCGAGUUGUAAUUUGUAGAAGAUGCUUUGGGUGCUUGGCCCGGCCUAAGUUCCUUGGAACAGGACGUCGUAGAGGGUGAGAAUCCCGUAUGCGGCCAGUGUCGGCGCCCGUGUAAAGCUCUUUCGACGAGUCGAGUUGUUUGGGAAUGCAGCUCAAAAUGGGUGGUAAAUUUCAUCUAAAGCUAAAUAUGGGCCAGAGACCGAUAGCGCACAAGUAGAGUGAUCGAAAGAUGAAAAGCACUUUGGAAAGAGAGUUAAACAGUACGUGAAAUUGUUGAAAGGGAAGCGCUUGCAACCAGACUUGGGCGUCGCUGAUCAUCCAAAGACACUCUUUGGUGCACUCGACGACGCACAGGCCAGCAUCGGUUGGAGUGGUGGGAGAAAGGUUGCCGGAACGUGGCUCUUUUCGGAGAGUGUUAUAGCCGGCGACGCAAUACCGCCUACCCCGACCGAGGACCGCGCUUCGGCUAGGAUGCUGGCGUAAUGGUUGUAAGCGACCCGUCUUGAAACACGGACCAAGG